AGUUGAGAUUUAAUUUGUUUUUUGUUAGCUGCAGAAGAGGUCUGGACUGAGAGGUGACUUGGGUGGAGGGCUUGGCCACAGUAACAGCAAACCAUUGAGGAACCAGGAACAAUAAGGAGGGCUGGAGUGGAAGAGUCUCUGCAGCCUGACAUAAGGUGUACCCUGGGGAGUGAGUGCAUGCUGACUGCUAUGGUUGGAAUGAAGAGUUCUCUACCCAUCAAUAUGACUGUGACUCCCACUAUAUUAGGAGAGGGAUGCAAGGCCCAAAAUUCAGACCCAGAAUCAUCUCUUCUGCAGACUAUACUUUAUCUCUUGUGGUGUUUUCCCUUAGCCUAAAGAGGAGUCAGGAAAUCCUUGUGUUUCUUGAGGAGCAAUCAGAAUCUGACAGGUAUUUGGAAGGAGGUGACUUCUAACAUACUAGUUAUGUUCUACAAUCCUUUUUUGGUUUAAAUGAGAAUAAGACCUCAAACUUUGUGGGAUAGUUCCCCACCUUCAGUAUAUGUGGUAUAUAUUUAAAAAACUACUGUCAGAGUGCUUCUUGAGCCUUCCAUUGUAAUGUCCCAUCGCUCAGGAAUCAGCUUGGAGUAUAGUGCUGUGGAGUUCGAACAGAUGAAAAUCAUUGUAUAAAUGUAAAAUACUGAUGGUUUUUUUUCACUGCUUCUCAAAUAAGUGAUAAUUAGGAAUCUUGGAGUUUGAUUAAAAGAUAAAUUAACACAAACAUUUUACCAGUAUCAAACGAUGAGAUUUCCUAUUCUUAAAUAAAGUGUAGUAACGCAACA
Long non-coding RNA from Gopherus agassizii (Agassiz's desert tortoise), 779 nucleotides. The record is from Ensembl. Lineage: Eukaryota; Metazoa; Chordata; Testudines; Testudinidae.